CAUGGACGACGCGGCCUAAGCUCCGUGGUCGUGCCCCCUCAACUCUCCUCCAAACAAACCAAGCCCCACAUUGUCUUCCUCUUCACGCAUUGAAGCUUAGUCGCCCCUUUCCCGAGUCCAACGGACACCGGAGCCUCGCCGCCGACGUUACCGUGCUACGGUUCACGCCGACGUGCAUGGACAGAGAUGACGUCGAGCUCGCCAUCACCCGCCGCGUCUCCCACCACCUUGCCCUACUCGUCUCGUCGUCGGUAAGCCGUUAGCCGAGCUCCAUUACUCUCUCUCCCUCUCUCUGCCGUGAAAACUAAGUAGGGGUCUCAAGUUUAAAUAGGGGAAAGGGAAGGGGUUUUCUGAAAUGUGUCGUAGACUCAACGAAAUAGUGUCUGAGAACCUAAGCCUGAGGAUCUGUUUUGGUUAAAGCUCAGGGGUUUGCAAGCAAAACAAUUUUUACUUUUCAUUUCUUUUCUCCUUUUGGUUUAACGCUUUGGAAAAACAUAACUUUAGUUUUAAGUCAACAAAAAUAGUGAAGCAAAUUUUAAGAUGCUCUUAUGGGGAUUGUUAGGCCAUAGUGAUCACACCUAUGUCGAUUAAGUAUUGUGGGUGUGGUUUGUAUUAGGAAUACCCCGCUAUCUGGUUAGUAAUCGAUUUGAAUCGCCAUCGCUCCUGGAUAGUGAGCACUUGGCUUGAGCUAUCUCAUCGUAGUAAGAACAACGAUAACCAUGAGAAUGAUGAUAUGGAUUAAGGAUGAUGACAUUAAUGAUUAAAAUCAAGGGUUUGGGUUACUUUUGCUUGGCUAGUAAUCAGUAGUAUUGCUUAACUUGAUUCAUCACUAAAGCUAUACAUAGACUUACACUGAAUUGGCAAUGGUCAUCUAGUUACUUAGGUGCUAACCUAGCUUUGCAGCAGAAUAGGUAAAAAUGAAUUGCUAAAAGAUGAUUAAUUAUCUUGUUGCCCCUUAAGUUGCUAAUAAUUACAUUAGUUAAUGUACUCUUCCAAAAUAAAGAGUCAGCUCCGUAUAAAACAUUACCUGAUCCUUAGUUUCUUUCCCUAUCUUAUUUUCUGGCUUUGGACGGGUAAGUUUAGCUGAGUACAUUCCAGUACUCUGGGUUAUAUUCACAAUGUUGUUGCAGAUGGCCAGAUGUUCUACGAAUAUUGUGAGCACUGCUUAUACCCAGCUACGGGAGAUGACUAGGCCAUGGGCAUGACUUUCAAGAUAUUCUGUCAUGCCUUUGGUGGGUUGACAACCCUAAUGUUGGCACUGUAUUUUGAAAACCUCACAUGUGUUAUGGGCGCUACUUUGAACAAUUGCUUCUGCUAAAACUUGUCACAAUGGUUUCCUAUAUCUAGCCCUUCGUGCCGAACUAAGUUGUAAUAACCCUAUUUCACUAUGAACUACUUGUUUUAUGUUAAAUGUUGUAUCACGCG
RNAcentral lists this long non-coding RNA (1425 nucleotides) under Zea mays. RNAcentral describes it as "long non-coding RNA (ZMAY_LNC004653)". Lineage: Eukaryota; Viridiplantae; Streptophyta; Magnoliopsida; Poales; Poaceae. The record is from RNAcentral.